GAGAAGGGAAAUAGCCCAGUGGUGUAGAACAUCUGCUUUGCAUGCAGAAGGUCCUAGGUUCAAUUUCUGGCCUCUUCA
Non-coding RNA from Podarcis lilfordi (Lilford's wall lizard), 78 nucleotides. NCBI's taxonomy places the organism in Eukaryota, Metazoa, Chordata, Lepidosauria, Squamata, Lacertidae. The record is from the annotation of a GenBank genome assembly.